GAUGAACGCUGGCGGCGUGCCUAAUACAUGCAAGUCGAGCGAACGGACGAGAAGCUUGCUUCGCUGAUGUUAGCGGCGGACGGGUGAGUAACACGUGGAUAACCUACCUAUAAGACUGGGAUAACGUCGGGAAACCGGAGCUAAUACCGGAUAAUAUUUUGAACCGCAUUGUUCAAAAGUGAAAGACGGUCUUGCUGUCACUUAUAGAUGGAUCCGCGCUGCAUUAGCUAGUUGGCAAGGUAACGGCUUACCAAGGCAACGAUGCAUAGCCGACCUGAGAGGGUGAUCGGCCACACUGGAACUGAGACACGGUUCAGACUCCUACGGGGGGCAGCAGUAGGGAAUCUUCAGCAAUGGGCGAAAGCCUGAAGGAGCAACGCCGCGUGAGUGAUGAAGGUCUUCGGAUCGUAAAACUCUGUUAUUAGGGAAGACCAUAUGUGUAAGUAACUGUGCUCAUCUUGACGGUACCUAAUCAGAAAGCCACGGCUAACUACGUG
RNAcentral lists this ribosomal RNA (497 nucleotides) under uncultured bacterium. RNAcentral describes it as "partial 16S ribosomal RNA". It matches the Rfam family "Bacterial small subunit ribosomal RNA", at positions 28 to 507 of the family's 1533-position model. The record is from RNAcentral.